CGAGGAAUUUUCCGCAAUGGGCGAAAGCCUGACGGAGCAACGCCGCGUGGGGGAAGAAGGCCUUCGGGUUGUAAACCCUGUUGCGAGGGAAGAAGAUCUGACGGUACCUCGCGAGGAAGCCACGGCUAACUACGUGCCAGCAGCCGCGGUAAUACGUAGGUGGCAAGCGUUGUCCGGAUUUACUGGGCGUAAAGCGCGCGCAGGCGGGCUGGUCAGUCUGGGGUGAAAUCUCACGGCUCAACCGUGAGAGGUCCCUGGAUACUGCUAGCCUUGAGGGGCUCAGAGGAGAGUGGAAUUCCGGGUGUAGUGGUGGAAUGCGUAGAUAUCCGGAGGAACACCAGUGGCGAAAGCGGCUCUCUGGGGGCAACCUGACGCUGAGGCGCGAAAGCGUGGGGAGCGAACCGGAUUAGAUACCCGGGUGGUCCACGCCGUAAACGAUGAGUACUAGUUGUCGGGGGUAUCGACCCCCUCGGUAACGGAGCUAACGCGAUAAGUACUCCGCCUGGGGACUACGACCGC
This 519-nucleotide ribosomal RNA is filed under the name uncultured Bacillota bacterium. RNAcentral's name for it is "bacterial SSU rRNA". It matches the Rfam family "Bacterial small subunit ribosomal RNA", at positions 355 to 889 of the family's 1533-position model. The record is from RNAcentral. Lineage: Bacteria; Bacillati; Bacillota.